UUUCCAUAGGAAGAUAGCUCAUUAGUUUUGUUAGAAAACUGUUAUAACUAUCAUUGAUCAUGUUAUUUAGUGUUUGAUAUUUGUAUGACAUUAUUAUAUUUUACCUUUAUAUUGUAUUAUAAACAACUGUAUUUCAGUAUCACAGGCUUGUAUUAAAAUAUUCAAUUUUUUUGAAAAAUGUCAUAACAAAUAUAGACCAUUUUGUAUACAAAUUGAAUAAUAUAACAUUCCGUUCUAUAUUAUUAAGUAAAACUUGUUUAAUUAUCCAUCACGUUUAAGAAAAACGUAUAGACAGCUGCUUUGCUUAAACAAAAAAACCCAUUUUAUAACCUUUUAUUGGUACCUAUUAAGCUACUUUAUUGGUACCUACUGUCACAAUGCAUGUUUUCAGAUCAAAAUAUACUACUACGUCGUGUAGAAGAGGCCGCAAUAUACGAUCCGGCGUAUUGUCCAAUCAAUUGUGGCAGGUUUUACAAAGGUCAACAUCGAAAAAUAAAUCUACGUCGACACAUAUUUGAAUGUGGUGUACAACCAAGAUUUCCUUGUACAAUAUGUAAGAAACGGUUUUUCCGAAGGUACCAACUUAAAUUACACAUGGGAAGAGUGCACAAAGUAUGUGCUUCUAAUUUACACAACCACAGUGAAAUGUGUACAAUUUUAAUUUAAUGGUGUUUGCACAAAAUUUCAAAAGUUAUAUGAAUCUGACCCAGUUCCGUGUCCAAAUUAUUGCGGUCGUCUUUAUAGGGGUCCGCAACGAAAAUGUAAUUUAAGAAAGCAUUUGAAAUUGGAGUGUGGUGUGGCACCUAUGUUUUUGUGCAGAAUAUGUUUAAGGAAAUUUACUAGAAACGAAAACUUAAAACGACAUUUAGUAGUUGUACAUAGAACAUUAAAAAAUAUGAUGUGAUAACACUUAACAUUAACUGUUAAACUGUUGGAGAUUUCAUGGAUCGAUUAAUUGAACUGAAAACAUUUCAGUUCCAUUUUCAAAGUAGAAUCUGUAUCUUUAAUCUUUUAUUGCAUUAUGAUAUUUUACACUAUAAAUAAAAAGGAUAAAACUGUUAAA
Rhopalosiphum padi (bird cherry-oat aphid) is the source of this 1063-nucleotide long non-coding RNA. RefSeq lists it as uncharacterized. NCBI's taxonomy places the organism in Eukaryota, Metazoa, Arthropoda, Insecta, Hemiptera, Aphididae. The record is from RefSeq and is a predicted model, not a curated record. The transcript is spliced from 2 exons.